CCUGUGCUGGGUUGCUCUGUAUAAUACUAUUGUGAGCUUUUAGGGCAUCCAAGCAUUGAAA
This 61-nucleotide microRNA precursor is filed under the name Microcaecilia unicolor. RNAcentral's name for it is "Mun-Novel-3_pre stem-loop". The record is from RNAcentral. Lineage: Eukaryota; Metazoa; Chordata; Amphibia; Gymnophiona; Siphonopidae.